UUUUCAGGUGAGUUCUUGCCUUGGACAUAUUUAAGUAAUUUGAUUUCAUUUCCCCAUAUUGUAUGUUCUUUGGGUUUUAAUAGCAGAAACUCAUUACUAGUGUAAAUAUUUAACUACCGGACAAUGUACAUAUAUAAUUUAAUGUCACGGUCUUGGAUUUGAUGCUGAUAUUUUUCAAAGUUGCUACCUUUGUUCUUUGUUGACAGCUUUUGUAAUGUGAUGCUUUCUGAUGGGAUGCCUUUACACAUUGUUGCAUUUUAUUUCAAGAUCAAAAUCAUCUGUGGAUGCGGUGACGGGUAGAUUGCUCCUACUUUGACAUCAUUGUGAACUGUUGUAAAUGAGUAAUAAGUGUAUGUUAUGACAUUGAACUUAAAGUUCUUAAAAAGAAUAUUUACAAAUUUCAAGUGAAUAAAACAUAAUUAUUAUUGUGAAAUUGGUUGGAGGAGUAUAUGGUUAUAAUGAAAGCAAGGUAUAUAGUUGUUUGUUAUCAUACACUAAAUCUGUUUGGAGCUUACUAGAAUUUUGAUUUGCAGUUAUGUUCAAAUCGUAGUCAUGUUUUCUACUUUUGGUUUUCUAGUGUUCAAGACAACCCAAUGACAAUGAUUGUGGAUAUUAUGUUUCGGUAUAUGAAAGAAAUUAUCACAUGUGAAGGAGGAAC
This 658-nucleotide long non-coding RNA is filed under the name Vigna radiata. RNAcentral's name for it is "long non-coding RNA (VRAD_LNC017710)". Lineage: Eukaryota; Viridiplantae; Streptophyta; Magnoliopsida; Fabales; Fabaceae. The record is from RNAcentral.